RNAcentral lists this ribosomal RNA (520 nucleotides) under uncultured bacterium. RNAcentral's name for it is "bacterial SSU rRNA". It matches the Rfam family "Archaeal small subunit ribosomal RNA", at positions 345 to 866 of the family's 1478-position model. The record is from RNAcentral.
AACCUCCGCAAUGUGAGAAAUCGCGACGGGGGGAUCCCAAGUGCCAUUCUUAACGGGAUGGCUUUUCAUUAGUGUAAAGAGCUUUUGGAAUAAGAGCUGGGCAAGACCGGUGCCAGCCGCCGCGGUAACACCGGCAGCUCUAGUGGUAACAAUUUUUAUUGGGCCUAAAGCGUCCGUAGCCGGUUUAAUAAGUCUCUGGUGAAAUCCUGUAGCUUAACUGUGGGAAUUGCUGGAGAUACUAUUAGACUUGAGACCGGGAGAGGUUAGAGGUACUCCCAGGGUAGAGGUGAAAUUCUGUAAUCCUGGGAGGACCGCCUGUUGCGAAGGCGUCUAACUGGAACGGUUCUGACGGUGAGGGACGAAAGUUAGGGGCGCGAACCGGAUUAGAUACCCGGGUAGUCCUAACCGUAAACGAUGCGGACUUGGUGUUGGGGUGGCUUUGAGCUGCUCCAGUGCCGAAGGGAGCUGUUAAGUCCGCCGCCUGGGAAGUACGGUCGCAAGACUGAAACUUAAAGGAAUU